RNAcentral lists this long non-coding RNA (919 nucleotides) under Triticum aestivum (bread wheat). RNAcentral's name for it is "long non-coding RNA (TAES_LNC015089)". Lineage: Eukaryota; Viridiplantae; Streptophyta; Magnoliopsida; Poales; Poaceae. The record is from RNAcentral.
GACAGGGCGUUUUGGCUCCCGGGCUCAUCUGAGCCCGGGAGUGAACAGUAAGUUCGCCAAAAAUAGUAAAGUAAUUCAAAAAAAAUCAAUUUAUUUUGUGGUGAAAGAUGCUUGAUUUCGUGAUGUCCGCUCGAAAAUUCAGUGCGUUUGAACAUUUGACGAGCUCUGAGCAAAAAAGACAAAUUUUGGGCCUGUGAAAAAGUUUAUUGUUUUGCACUGUUCGGACCUGAUUUUGUCUCUUUUGCUGAGAGCUCGUCAGAUAUCCGAAUGAGCUGAAACUUGGCAUGGACAUCACGCACUUGAGCAUCUUUCACCACAAUUUUUUUUUUGAAUUUUUUAGAUUUUUUCUAUUUUUUUUAAUUUACUGUUCACAGGGUGUAGAUGAGUUCGGGAGCCGAAUUGGAUAUUCGGGUUCCUCCUACCUUCUCUUCUCACAUGCGAGGUACGAAUGAAAGAGUUACUCAGAUCCACUACUUAAUAAAAUCAACGGUUGAGAUCUAUUAGAUACUCUUAUUUUUCAUGUGAAAAGGGGAGGUAAGAGGGACCAUGUUAAAAAUGCUCGGUGAGGUUUUGACUGGAGUUUAUGGAAGCACCACCGAUCACGAUUAUGCUUGUAUGCUGCAGUUUAUGUAAGCAGAGGAAUGCGCGCGUGUUUGGCAAUGUUUCCCAACAGCGUUCUGUCAAUGGUCUUUGUGUGCAGAUUGUUGAGGAACUCGAGCAAGUACUUAGUGGGUAGCUAGCCCUCUUCUGCUGUUGUUCCCUGGUGUUUUGGUGUCCUUGCUCUGGUCGCUGGCGCCCUGAGAAGGAUGGUGUAUCUUUACGCUGCUUUCUUGUAUAAAGAAAAGAAAUGGUAUGCAAUUUACGUACUCUUGAAGAAGAAAGAAUAAAGGUGUAUGAACCCUUGUAUCUGGGUCUUUCG